GGCGACGAUCUGUAGCGGGUCUGAGAGGAUGAUCCCCCACACUGGGACUGAGACACGGCCCAGACUCCUACGGGAGGCAGCAGUGGGGAAUAUUGGACAAUGGGGGGAACCCUGAUCCAGCCAUGCCGCGUGUGUGAAGAAGGCCUUUUGGUUGUAAAGCACUUUAAGCGAGGAGGAGGCUACUUGGAUUAAUACUCUAGGAUAGUGGACGUUACUCGCAGAAUAAGCACCGGCUAACUCUGUGCCAGCAGCCGCGGUAAUACAGAGGGUGCGAGCGUUAAUCGGAUUUACUGGGCGUAAAGCGUGCGUAGGCGGCUUUUUAAGUCGGAUGUGAAAUCCCCGAGCUUAACUUGGGAAUUGCAUUCGAUACUGGGAAGCUAGAGUAUGGGAGAGGAUGGUAGAAUUCCAGGUGUAGCGGUGAAAUGCGUAGAGAUCUGGAGGAAUACCGAUGGCGAAGGCAGCCAUCUGGCCUAAUACUGACGCUGAGGUACGAAAGCAUGGGGAGCAAACAGGAUUAGAUACCCUGGUAGUCCAUGCCGUAAACGAUGUCUACUAGCCGUUGGGGCCUUUGAGGCUUUAGUGGCGCAGCUAACGCGAUAAGUAGACCGCCUGGGGAGUACGGUCGCAAGACUAAAACUCAAAUGAAUUGACGGGGGCCCGCACAAGCGGUGGAGCAUGUGGUUUAAUUCGAUGCAACGCGAAGAACCUUACCUGGCCUUGACAUAGUAAGAACUUUCCAGAGAUGGAUUGGUGCCUUCGGGAACUUACAUACAGGUGCUGCAUGGCUGUCGUCAGCUCGUGUCGUGAGAUGCUGGGUUAAGUCCCGCAACGAGCGCAACCCUUUUCCUUAUUUGCCAGCACUUCGGGUGGGAACUUUAAGGAUACUGCCAGUGACAAACUGGAGGAAGGCGGGGACGACGUCAAGUCAUCAUGGCCCUUACGGCCAGGGCUACACACGUGCUACAAUGGUCGGUACAAAGGGUUGCUACACAGCGAUGUGAUGCUAAUCUCAAAAAGCCGAUCGUAGUCCGGAUUGGAGUCUGCAACUCGACUCUAUGAAGUCGGAAUCGCUAGUAAUCGCGGAUCAGAAUGCCGCGGUGAAUACGUUCCCGGGCCUUGUACACACCGCCCGUCACACCAUGGGAGUUUGUUGCACCAGAAGUAGCUAGCCUAACUGCAAAGAGGGCGGUUACCACGGUGUGGCCGAUGACUGGGGUGAAGUCGUAACAAGGUAGCC
Molecule: ribosomal RNA, 1237 nt
Filed under: uncultured Acinetobacter sp.
Lineage: Bacteria; Pseudomonadati; Pseudomonadota; Gammaproteobacteria; Moraxellales; Moraxellaceae
Description: bacterial SSU rRNA
Rfam family: Bacterial small subunit ribosomal RNA
Source: RNAcentral